RNAcentral lists this ribosomal RNA (120 nucleotides) under Meriones unguiculatus (Mongolian gerbil). Lineage: Eukaryota; Metazoa; Chordata; Mammalia; Rodentia; Muridae. The record is from RNAcentral.
UUCUACAGCCAUACCACCCGGAAUGCACCCAAUUUCAUCUGAUCGCAGAAGCUAAGCAGGGUCAGGCCUGGUUAGUACUUAGAUGAACACACUACCAUUUAACUGCAGAAGCUGAAUACA